Humulus lupulus (European hop) is the source of this 1865-nucleotide long non-coding RNA. RefSeq lists it as uncharacterized. Lineage: Eukaryota; Viridiplantae; Streptophyta; Magnoliopsida; Rosales; Cannabaceae. The transcript is spliced from 2 exons. The record is from RefSeq and is a predicted model, not a curated record.
GGCUGGUACCUCUUGUUGCUUUCUCUAGUGUAUAACUUUUACCAAAAUUAGAAGCCCAAUUAAUUAUUUCCUUCUUUAGCCCAUCACUUUGGACCACACAUUUAAGUCCAAUUAACAACUAGCUGGCAUUCUCUGGUCCACGCCACCUACACAAGUCUAAAGUGGUGUCACACAGCUGGCUUAAUUUUCCAUGUCAUCAAUUCCAACUCCAGGAUGCUGCAGCACGAAGUUUAGCAAUUCUGCAUAUUUCAACUUUUCCCAACUUCUUCUUGUCAUCUUUUAAUUCCAUCUGGUUGCAUUGCUAGCUUGAAAUCAUUUUACACAGAAAAUAAAAGUAAAUUAAUUAUUUAAUUCCAAAAUAGUUAGAACAUUCAAUUCUAAAAUUAGACUUCACAAGACACAAAGAUGAAAUUAACUAAAAAUUCAACAACUAAAUACUCAAUUCAUCACUCAUUUCUUACAAAAUCAAAUUUAAUAGUAGAAUAAAUAACUCUAUAUCAUAGAGUUAUCACUAUCCUUUCCCAAGAUUUAAUGUAAAACCUGAGUUUUUGAAUUAACUACUAUUCAUAUAUUAUUUGUUCUUUUUUUUUUUUUUUGGUAAAAUACUAAUUUGGCCCUUGUGUUUUGCCCGAAUACUCGAUCGACCCCUAUGUUUUAUUAAAUGAUAAAACAGAUCUUAUGUUUUACAAAACAGAUCAAUUGAAUACUCUAUGCUCAAUUUGAUCAAAUUAUUUUUAAAUAUGACCAAAAUACUCUCAAAUUUUUUAAUUAAUAAAUUUAUUAAAUUUUAAAAUAUAAAAUAAGAAAAUGAAAAAAACAUUUAUUUAAUUUCCUUUUUCUCUUUCUCUCUCCUCUCUCUUCUCUUCCCUCUCCCGAUCUUCCUCACCCUUACCCAAAAAAAAUUGCAUCUCUCUAUCUCUCUCAUUUUCACCUCCACUCAUUCUCUCUCUUUUCUUCUCAAAUCUGGGGGUUGAACGAGGUUGGAAAGGCAGUGGCUUGUCAACAGCUUGGCCGUCGAGAGGACAGAGGAAGCUCGGCAACAACUUUCUUCGUCCCUCAUACUGUCGAGAUCUGCGUUCGUGGAUCUGCGUCCCUCACACCGUCGAGCAAAGAGUUCCAACCCGAAGCCCAUGAGCCCAUUUCAAAGACAACCUCUGCCCAUUACCUUUUCAGAUCUUGUUCAUAAAUUUGCAAAAGAAUUUCGUAAGUUGACCUAUUCUCACACUUCAAUUUUUUUUGGGUUUUUCAGAUCUUGACGCCCACGACUUCAUUAACUUGGAUUUAUCCUAAAAAGGAUGUAUUGGGGUGAUCGGGAACCGAUUUCUGAGUACUGGGACAAGGGUUUUGUGAGAACCAAUGGCGAUUCCAUAGUUUCGUUAAUGAGGAUGGGAACUUACGCAAGGAGUAGAUUUAGUGGUUAAGUGAUAGGAGUGACUGCGAGUGCGGGAAACACUACUACAAAGGCUAUGGUAGCUUUGGCUCUUGGAGGUUGUGGGAAGAAGGUUUAUGAGAGCUUUCGAAAUCGGAAUAAUGAAAUUGGAGUUGCUCUGUCACUAAUUGGGGGCCGAAGUUGUCAUUGCUGGGUUGUUGCUAUGACAAUGGCUUGAAGUUGUAUUGUUGCUGAAAUCUGGGUUUGAAUGAUGAACUCAAGAGCAAGCUUUGAUUAAUAUUUAACAACGAAGCAAGGAGAUGAGGGCUCACGGUCAAGAACAAAAGAAGAAGAAGAAGAAAGAGGGAAAAUUAAAAGUUUUAAUUUUAAUUUUUCAUUUUUGUUUGUAUUUCUAUACAUAAAUUAAUUUUGAACUUUUGAUGUUAAUGUUGGGUAAGAUCAUGGCAGAAAAUUAAUUUUGGAGUUUUGAUGUUAA